CCUGGAAGGGAGCAUCAUAGAGGGUGACAAUCCCGUCUUUGACACGGAGUAGGGCCAGGGCUUNAUGUGAAGCGCUCUCGACGAGUCGAGUUGUUUGGGAAUGCAGCUCUAAACGGGUGGUAAAUUCCAUCUAAAGCUAAACAUGGGCGAGAGACCGAUAGCGAACAAGUACCGUGAGGGAAAGAUGAAAAGAACUUUGAAAAGAGAGUUAAACAGUAUGUGAAAUUGCUGAAAGGGAAACGCUUGACGUCAGUCGCGUCGGCUGGGGAUCAACCUGGGGAGUUUGACUGGGCGUACUUCCUGGCUGACGGGUCAGCGUCAGUUUCGUUCGCUGUACAAGGGCCAGAGAAAUGUAGCACUCCUCGGAGNGUGUUUUAUAGUCUUUGGUCGAAUGCAACGAAAGGGACU
RNAcentral lists this ribosomal RNA (408 nucleotides) under Austroboletus yourkae. RNAcentral describes it as "Austroboletus sp. AW-2021a partial large subunit ribosomal RNA". It matches the Rfam family "Eukaryotic large subunit ribosomal RNA", at positions 189 to 591 of the family's 3401-position model. Lineage: Eukaryota; Fungi; Basidiomycota; Agaricomycetes; Boletales; Boletaceae. The record is from RNAcentral.